Molecule: ribosomal RNA, 446 nt
Filed under: uncultured bacterium
Lineage: Bacteria
Description: partial 16S ribosomal RNA
Rfam family: Bacterial small subunit ribosomal RNA
Source: RNAcentral
CCUACGGGUGGCAGCAGUAGGGAAUAUUGGGCAAUGGGGGGAACCCUGACCGAGCAAAGCCGCGUGAACGAAGAAGUUCUUCGUAAUGUAAAGUUCUUUUAAUAGGGAAGAAAGAGAAAUUUGACGUUACCUGAAGAAUAGGCUCCGACUAACGACGUGCCAGCAGCCGCUGUAAUACGAAGGGAGCGAGCGUUAUCCGGAAUACUUGGGGGAAAUGGGUACGUAGAUGGAAUAGUAAGUCUUUGGUAAAAAUGCUGGGCUAAACCCAGUAGGGCAAAAGAUACUGCGAAGCUAGAGUAUGACAGAGGUAAGUGGAACUACAGGUGUAGCGGUGAAAUGCGUAGAUAUAUGUAGGAACACCAGUGGCGAAGGCGGCCGGCUGGGUCGAUACUGACGUUGAGGCACGAAAGCGUGGGGAGCAAACAGGAUUAGAUACCCCGGUAGUC